This 499-nucleotide ribosomal RNA is filed under the name uncultured bacterium. RNAcentral's name for it is "partial 16S ribosomal RNA". It matches the Rfam family "Bacterial small subunit ribosomal RNA", at positions 28 to 507 of the family's 1533-position model. The record is from RNAcentral.
GACGAACGCUGGCGGCGUGCUUAACACAUGCAAGUCGAACGGGCCCGCCCCUGUUUUUGGGGGUGGGUUGAGUGGCGAACGGGUGAGUAUCACGUGAGUAACCUGCCCCCUGCUCCUGGAUAACUGCUUGAAAGGGCGGCUAAUACGGGGUGUGCCGGCUGGUCCGCAUGGGCCUGGUCGGGAUAGUUUCAUCUUCGGGUGUUUCGGUGGGGGAUGGGCUCGCGGCCUAUCAGCUUGUUGGUGGGGUGAUGGCCCACCAAGGUGGUGACGGGUAGCCGGCCUGAGAGGGUGGGCGGCCACACUGGGACUGAGACACGGCCCAGACUCCUGCGGGAGGCAGCAGUGGGGGGUAUUGCACAAUGGGCGGAAGCCUGAUGCAGCGACGUCGCGUGAGGGAUGGAGGCCUUCGGGUUGUGAACCUCUUUCUCCGGUGGUGAAGGCCCUGUCCGUUGCGGCGGGGUUGACGGUAGCCGGGUAUGAAGCGCCGGCUAACUACGUG